UACGUAGGGUACGAGCGUUGUCCGGAAUUAUUGGGCGUAAAGAGCUCGUAGGUGGUUGGUCACGUCUGCUGUGGAAACGCAACGCUUAACGUUGCGCGGGCAGUGGGUACGGGCUGACUAGAGUGCAGUAGGGGAGUCUGGAAUUCCUGGUGUAGCGGUGAAAUGCGCAGAUAUCAGGAGGAACACCGGUGGCGAAGGCGGGACUCUGGGCUGUAACUGACACUGAGGAGCGAAAGCAUGGGGAGCGAACAGGAUUAGAUACCCGU
This 266-nucleotide ribosomal RNA is filed under the name uncultured prokaryote. Its description in RNAcentral is "partial 16S ribosomal RNA". It matches the Rfam family "Bacterial small subunit ribosomal RNA", at positions 524 to 789 of the family's 1533-position model. The record is from RNAcentral.